RNAcentral lists this ribosomal RNA (697 nucleotides) under Salmonella enterica. RNAcentral describes it as "partial 23S ribosomal RNA". It matches the Rfam family "Bacterial large subunit ribosomal RNA", at positions 2234 to 2925 of the family's 2925-position model. Lineage: Bacteria; Pseudomonadati; Pseudomonadota; Gammaproteobacteria; Enterobacterales; Enterobacteriaceae. The record is from RNAcentral.
CGUAAUCCGGGUUGCGGACAGUGUCUGGUGGGUAGUUUGACUGGGGCGGUCUCCUCCCAAAGAGUAACGGAGGAGCACGAAGGUUAGCUAAUCCUGGUCGGACAUCAGGAGGUUAGUGCAAUGGCAUAAGCUAGCUUGACUGCGAGCGUGACGGCGCGAGCAGGUGCGAAAGCAGGUCAUAGUGAUCCGGUGGUUCUGAAUGGAAGGGCCAUCGCUCAACGGAUAAAAGGUACUCCGGGGAUAACAGGCUGAUACCGCCCAAGAGUUCAUAUCGACGGCGGUGUUUGGCACCUCGAUGUCGGCUCAUCACAUCCUGGGGCUGAAGUAGGUCCCAAGGGUAUGGCUGUUCGCCAUUUAAAGUGGUACGCGAGCUGGGUUUAGAACGUCGUGAGACAGUUCGGUCCCUAUCUGCCGUGGGCGCUGGAGAAUUGAGGGGGGCUGCUCCUAGUACGAGAGGACCGGAGUGGACGCAUCACUGGUGUUCGGGUUGUCAUGCCAAUGGCAUUGCCCGGUAGCUACAUGCGGAAGAGAUAAGUGCUGAAAGCAUCUAAGCACGAAACUUGCCCCGAGAUGAGUUCUCCCUGAGACUUUAAGUCUCCUGAAGGAACGUUGAAGACGACGACGUUGAUAGGCUGGGUGUGUAAGUGCAGCGAUGCAUUGAGCUAACCAGUACUAAUGAACCGUGAGGCUUAACCUU